CCUACGGGGGGCAGCAGUAGGGAAUAUUGCUCAAUGGGGGAAACCCUGAAGCAGCAACGCCGCGUGGAGGAUGAAGGUUUUCGGAUUGUAAACUCCUUUUGUUAGAGAAGAUAAUGACGGUAUCUAACGAAUAAGCACCGGCUAACUCCGUGCCAGCAGCCGCGGUAAUACGGAGGGUGCAAGCGUUACUCGGAAUCACUGGGCGUAAAGAGCGCGUAGGCGGGAAAGCAAGUCAGAUGUGAAAUCCUAGGGCUUAACCAUAGAACUGCAUUGGAAACUGUUAUUCUAGAGUAUGGGAGAGGUAGGUGGAAUUCUUGGUGUAGGGGUAAAAUCCGUAGAGAUCAAGAGGAAUACUCAUUGCGAAGGCGACCUGCUAGAACAUAACUGACGCUGAUGCGCGAAAGCGUGGGGAGCAAACAGGAUUAGAUACCCCAGUAGUC
RNAcentral lists this ribosomal RNA (440 nucleotides) under uncultured bacterium. Its description in RNAcentral is "partial 16S ribosomal RNA". It matches the Rfam family "Bacterial small subunit ribosomal RNA", at positions 338 to 795 of the family's 1533-position model. The record is from RNAcentral.